UCCUAUUAAAGCCAAGCAUAUCUGAACUAAUUGGCACUUUAAACCCAUUAAGAAAAUAUUUAACAGAACACUUGAACUCACAAAACAGUGGAGACUAAUACCAUUAGUACAAAAAGAAAAUGACUCCCCUGAACUCAAAAUAAAUAUGACAUGCGCUAAAGACCCCUAACUCAUUAGGCUCAAUUGAUAACAAACUAGCAAAUAGCAUCAAAGUCACCAAUCACUAAAAUUGCAUGCUCAAGGAUAAAGAAAAACGAAACAAAGUUCUGCAGUAUAUACAAGUGACACACCAGUCCUUAAGCUCGAACAAUCUCAAACUUAGUAGCCUAACUAAAUGAUGGACCUAUAAUCACCGAGAACCAUUUCGAAUCGGCAUUCAAAUUUAGCAAUCAUGUGAGAACUCUUUCAAUUCCGAGAGAUUGAAUAAUAUAUCUGACUUUUAGAAUACGCGAAGAGGCUUCAACUAGAGAAGGAAAUAAAAAUAAACCAACACAUACACAUUUCGGCGAAACAACUCGAUUUUGACAUCAUUUACAACUGAAAUAACAGACAAACAGCUAGCAAUAUGCAAAGCAUGGAACCAUCACGGCAAGAAUGACUACGCUUGAAGCUUAACUUAAAAUCUAUCAAAAAUUGGACAAGUCACUCAUAUCAUAGCCAAACAGAUCAAAACAUAAGAGCUGCCAUUUUUACAAACAAUCACUCGUUCAUUUUUCUUAUACGAACUGAAAUUAAAACACUCAAAUACCCUAACCCAGGCUUUUAUCAUAUUUUAAUAACACCAGAACAAACACAAAAGGGGAGAGGAACAGACCUGAUGGAUGUAAAUUUCUUUCAAUAGGAAAAAGUAGGAAUUUCGGCUACAAUAUUCUGAAUCCAAAAUCCGAACGAGAAAACAACCACAAGAAACCGAAGAAACAUAGAACCACGACCGGAAUCCGGAAUGUUUGAACUCUAACUCCUACUGCCUCAAACGAACCUCGAACAAAACUAGAGUCGACAAACGACUCAAUCGAAUUCCAUACUUGACACCCAAAAUUCAAAGUAAAGUCAAAGAAGAAACUAAGUCGAAGGAGAAAUUGAAGAACUAUAUUAUUAUUAUUAUUUUUGUUUUGUAUUUUUUUUUGAAUUUAAACUAAACUGUUAAAACAAAAUUCAAAAAAAUGAAGAGAAGUCCUUUUCUGAAACUCUAAUUUUCCCCAAAAACCUUUGUUCUCCGUUCUUCUCCCCCUUCUUCUUUUCCUCAGAUAUAUGUGUGUGUAUAUAUAUAUAUAUAUAUAUAAUAUGGCCCUCUCCAAUCUUCUUCCCCUGCUCUCAAAAAUCCCUAAAUUGACGAGAUAAGACAGAUGUAGGGAGUAGAUCGAAUGUAACUCGAUCCUACGCCCCACAUUUUUUCUAUAUCGCCAAACAAAAAAUGAAUCUGAAAGAGAAAGAAAGAGAGCGUAAAAUCCGGAAGGAAUAAUUCUGUUUUUGUCAGAAAUCCGUUAGGAUUAGAGUGACGUGGAGAAAGGAGAUGAGGAAUGGAUCAUGUGGGGGAUUGGGUUCGGGUCUUUGGCGGGUUUGGGUGGAGUUGAGGCAGGUAGAAGCAUUUGGUGAAGAAAGGGUGCGGCUGGUGGGGGAAUUAGGGUUGUUAGGAAUU
RNAcentral lists this long non-coding RNA (1639 nucleotides) under Nicotiana tabacum (common tobacco). Its description in RNAcentral is "long non-coding RNA (NTAB_LNC013354)". The record is from RNAcentral. Lineage: Eukaryota; Viridiplantae; Streptophyta; Magnoliopsida; Solanales; Solanaceae.